RNAcentral lists this long non-coding RNA (373 nucleotides) under Brassica napus (rape). Its description in RNAcentral is "long non-coding RNA (BNAP_LNC016062)". The record is from RNAcentral. Lineage: Eukaryota; Viridiplantae; Streptophyta; Magnoliopsida; Brassicales; Brassicaceae.
UAUUUUUUGGUGGAUCCAUGAAUAGUUAUGAACCUGUAUAUAUUGAAUCUGAAGACAGAGUUCAUAGGAAUAAAAUAAUAAUAUUUAUAUUUUUUUUAAAAAAAAUCAAAUUAUUGAGAAUACAGAAAUAAAAUAUUAAAAUAUAUUAUAAAUAUUUUAAAACUUUUUAUUCAAUACACUAAGAGUAGAUUACAUAAAUCGAGAACAUACAAACAUUAUUCAUCUUCAUUACCAAACUUUUGCUAUAUAUUUUCCAUUAAAUCAACUUUCAAUCGAUCAUGCUUCUCUGUAUCUCGAACUUCUCUGCGAAUGCCUGACAUAUCACCGACAUGGAUAUUUUCUCUCCUUUUCACCUUCGAACUUCUGCUUGACU